UUUGGAUUGAACUUGAGAGUUUGAUCCUGGCUCAGAACGAACGCUGGCGGCAGGCCUAACACAUGCAAG
RNAcentral lists this ribosomal RNA (69 nucleotides) under Rhodospirillaceae bacterium. RNAcentral describes it as "partial 16S ribosomal RNA". The record is from RNAcentral. RNAcentral also lists the same sequence under 1 other name. Lineage: Bacteria; Pseudomonadati; Pseudomonadota; Alphaproteobacteria; Rhodospirillales; Rhodospirillaceae.